GGACAGAUAGCUCAGUUGGUAGAGCACGGCCCGCCCUGAAAAGGCCGGUGUCGGCGGUUCGAGCCCGCCUCUGUCCA
Molecule: transfer RNA, 77 nt
Filed under: Planctomycetota bacterium
Lineage: Bacteria; Pseudomonadati; Planctomycetota
Description: Planctomycetes bacterium (hydrothermal vent metagenome) tRNA-Phe
Rfam family: tRNA
About the family: Transfer RNA (tRNA) molecules are approximately 80 nucleotides in length. Their secondary structure includes four short double-helical elements and three loops (D, anti-codon, and T loops).
Source: RNAcentral